UACGGAGGGUGCAAGCGUUAUCCGGAUUCACUGGGUUUAAAGGGUGCGUAGGUGGGCAAGUAAGUCAGUGGUGAAAUCUCCGGGCUUAACCCGGAAACUGCCAUUGAUACUAUUUGUCUUGAAUACUGUGGAGGUCAGCGGAAUAUGUCAUGUAGCGGUGAAAUGCUUAGAUAUGACAUAGAACACCAAUUGCGGAGGCAGCUUACUACGCGAUUAUUGACACUGAGGCACGAAAGCGUGGGGAUCAAACAGG
Molecule: ribosomal RNA, 253 nt
Filed under: uncultured bacterium
Lineage: Bacteria
Description: partial 16S ribosomal RNA
Rfam family: Bacterial small subunit ribosomal RNA
Source: RNAcentral